AAUAUUGCGCAAUGGAGGGAACUCUGACGCAGCGACGCCGCGUGAGUGAAGAAAGUCUUCGGAUCGUAAAGUUCUGUCCUUGGGGAAGAAGGGGGCCUUAAGGCUGCCUGACGGUACCCAUGGAGGGAGCCCUGGCUGACUACGUUCCUCCAGCCGCGGUAAUACGGAGGGGGCAAGCGUUGUCCGGAAUUAUUGGGCGUAAAGGGUGCGUAGGCGGCCCUUUAAGUCAGAUGUGAAAGCCCACGGCUUAACCGUGGGACUGCAUUUGAAACUGGAGGGCUUGAGUGUCGGAGAGGGCAGUGGAAUUCCCAGUGUAGCGGUGGAAUGCGUAGAUAUUGGGAGGAACACCAGUGGCGAAGGCGACUGCCUGGACGAUAACUGACGCUGAGGCACGAAAGCUAGGGGAGCAAACA
RNAcentral lists this ribosomal RNA (413 nucleotides) under uncultured bacterium. RNAcentral's name for it is "partial 16S ribosomal RNA". It matches the Rfam family "Bacterial small subunit ribosomal RNA", at positions 360 to 774 of the family's 1533-position model. The record is from RNAcentral.